GGGGAUGUAGCUCAAACGGUAGAGCACUCGCUUUGCAUGCGAGAGGUAUGGGAUUUUAUACCCGGCAUCUCCA
This 73-nucleotide transfer RNA is filed under the name Nelumbo nucifera (sacred lotus). It matches the Rfam family "tRNA". Rfam says of the family: Transfer RNA (tRNA) molecules are approximately 80 nucleotides in length. The record is from Rfam by way of RNAcentral. Lineage: Eukaryota; Viridiplantae; Streptophyta; Magnoliopsida; Proteales; Nelumbonaceae.